CCUACGGGUGGCAGCAGUGAGGAAUAUUGGUCAAUGGGCGCGAGCCUGAACCAGCCAAGUAGCGUGAAGGAUGACGGACCUACGGGUUGUAAACUUCUUUUAUAAAGGAAUAAAGUGAGGCACGUGUGCCUUUUUGGAUGUACUUUCUAAGUAAGGACCGGCGAACUACGUGCCAGCAGCCGAGGUAAUACGUAGGUGCCGAGCGUUAUCCGGAUUUAUUGGGUAUAAAGGGAGCGUAGAUGGGUUGGUAAGUCAGUUGUGAAAGUUUGCGGCUCACGCGUAAAAUUGCAAUUGAUACUGGCAGUCUUGAGUACAGUUGAGGUAGGCGGAAUUCGUGGUGUAGCGGUGAAAUGCGUAGAUAUCACGAAGAACUCCGGUUGCGAAGGCAGCCUACUAAACUGCCACUGACAUUGAUGCUCGAAAGUGUGGGGAGCAAACAGGAUUAGAUACCCCUGUAGUC
This 460-nucleotide ribosomal RNA is filed under the name uncultured bacterium. Its description in RNAcentral is "partial 16S ribosomal RNA". It matches the Rfam family "Bacterial small subunit ribosomal RNA", at positions 338 to 795 of the family's 1533-position model. The record is from RNAcentral.